Molecule: non-coding RNA, 68 nt
Organism: Turdus rufiventris (rufous-bellied thrush)
Lineage: Eukaryota; Metazoa; Chordata; Aves; Passeriformes; Turdidae
Source: the annotation of a GenBank genome assembly
UGGCUCACUUGUUUAGAGCAUGGUGCUAAUAAUACCAAUCCUGUGGGUUCCAUCCCCACGUGGGCCAU